Molecule: long non-coding RNA, 2535 nt
Organism: Triticum urartu
Lineage: Eukaryota; Viridiplantae; Streptophyta; Magnoliopsida; Poales; Poaceae
Source: RefSeq, a predicted model, not a curated record
ACGAUCUCACCAACGAUUGGUUGAUCUCCAACGCAUCUUCAGCCAAACAAAAUAGAUCGUUCUAGAGGUGCUCUUCUCAUCACGCCCUAUGUACGCCGCCGCCAUGGCUGCCCCAUGCCUUCUAUUGCAAUCCAGCAAAUCAAAAUUGAUCGAUCAAGGGUACGCCAUGGCAUGGAUGGAUGAGCCUUAUUCUAUCUUCUUUCUUCUUUCAUCUAGCUAGCUAGCUAGCAAGUCAGGUACACAUCAAAAUUGAUCGAUCAAGGGUAGACCAUGGCAUGGAUGGAUGUGCCUUCUUCUCUCUUCUCUCUUCUUUCAUCUUUCUUCUUUCAUCUAGCUAGCUAGCGAGCCAGGUACACCAUAUAAGUAUGUUCUGGUACGUCUAUAAAUAUGCAGUAUGCAUCAUGCCAUACGUAUGUCUCUGCUAAUUACCAAGUAGUAUUACCAUGUAUGAUCUAUAUAUGAGCCGAUAGCCUCAUAUAGACGCUCUUCUCCUUAGGCGUCAUGCACGACGCCGUCGUAGCGACCGACAACUGACGAUUCUCUGUUGUAUGUCUCUAGAUUAGAACAUCAUGGUGUUCUGCAUGCAACAACAUAGAGGCCGUAGGAUGGAGCAAGGUUCCCUUGAUUCCUCCCACCCACACAUCCUUAAUUAUGUUCCCUUGAUACCCAGCUUACUCUGCUUAUGAUAAUCAGAUGGAUAAAAGCAUGCAUGCAUCUAGCUACCUGCAUCACGUAUAACUUAAUAUACAGAGAUCAGCUAGGAGAUUAGUUGUUGGGGGCUCUACUUUCCUUCACCUGCUGAAAAAAUCAAGAUCAAAUUGAGGCUGGGAGGCUAGCGUGGAAUUGCAUUGAUGAUACCGAUGGCCAUGAUCAAUCAAAAGUACACGGACGUGUUCAACCCAGUUGCAGUGCCGUAACGGCAGGCCGUUACCACUUAGACGGAGGCCUAGGUAAGGCCCACAUGGUGAGAGUAUACCCUGUAUGUCGCUGCAUGGCAGAAUGACUCAACGAGAGGAUAAGGAGAAAAUAGAUACGAGAGAGGCACACGAACAUAUUGUACAGGGCUACAGGCCACACACGCGAACUAGUACCCAUGGAUCUUGCUGGGACAAACGAAUGGUGUGGCAUCCAAUUUCCAGGUUAGACGAUCGAUGUGCAUUCUUUGGUUCUGUGUUCUGCACAUCAGCAACGGACAGGAGCGGCCUAUGAUGGAGUCGGAACAAAAAUCCCCAAAACAGUUGUACGUCCAGCCUAUGCUAUUGUAUCAUUUGAGGAGAAAAACUGCUUUGAAAAUUGAGAUCGCUCAAGAUGAAUGGUAUAUACAUUACAUAAAAAAAUUAUAGCCCGGGAAAGCAACGGAGGCCUAGCAGUCUGGACCUAAGGGGCAUGACAACCUGGGAUUGUUUAGGGCAGUGCUGCCGGACGCGUUGUUCUGCAAACCACACCUGUCACCGUUCAGUUCAAUAGACCAGGAAAAUCAGGACGUCAUACAUGCACUUGAGGUAUGCAACCAUAAUGUACAUAGCAAUUUCAAUGUAUGCAAUACAUGCAUUUAUGCAAGCGUGUAUAUAUAUAUAUAUAUAUAUAUGCAUGAACCGAAGUAUGUGUUGGUUGAUCUGUGAGGGGUAGACUACAGCAGGUACAGUCGAAAAAAUACGAUACAGUACAAUUUACAGAUUGAAUUUUCACAAUAUUUCCUUUAAAUUAAAAAUCUCUAUUCUCUACCUUUGUAGUAUUCCUCUGUCUCAAAAGAGUACUAGAUAGUGUGAUAUAUAUGAUGCAAUAAUUAUGGUAGACAUGAUUGCAAAUAUUUAGAUUUUGUUGGCAACUACUUUCAUUCUGGUCAAAAGUGAAAGCAUACUAAAUCUUUUGGUUGGACCAAAGUUUCAGGUAAGCAUCAUGGUUCUUCGGAUGGUUAAAAUCUGUACAUUGUAAUUGUCAACAUGAUUUACACCUUUGGUAAUAUAUUAACAAAUCUUCAUUUAUAAGACAUCGAUGUAUUAUGUACUUAUAUAGGACAGAUCAACGAAACACAUGCAAGUCAUGGAAUUUACAUGAUUUGACACAUUAAGUUCUGAACUUGGUGUAUGGAGAAGAUUAGACUAACCAAAUUCGUGAAGAAUUUAUCACAAAGUUUGGUAGAUGAACAUUAAUUGUCAAUGUUAGAAAAAUCUACUACAUAAAUUAAUCUAUUAAGAUGUCAUUUUGAUUCUUCAUUUUAAUGGGGGAUUUUGACAUCCUCGGAGCCAUGGAAAUAAAAAAAGAUGUUAUGAAUUCCUUACAAUUAGAGUCACAUUUCUUAUUCUGUUGCAUAUAUAAAUAUUUUUGUACAUACAAAGCAGAGAGAAGUGAUGUGCACAGCAACUUGCAUAGUGUUGAAGAAGAAAAAACUAAUUUCGCAAUUGAAAAUUUCUAUAAAGCUAAAUUGCACAGUGUCGCAUAUUUACCAAGUAUGUCAUUUUUAUGUUCAAUUCUUGAAUGCUAUUUUGUUUGUAAAAUUUGUACUAUUACCAGCAUUUAUAUCUAUGUACCAUU